Oreochromis aureus is the source of this 1039-nucleotide long non-coding RNA. RefSeq lists it as uncharacterized. The transcript is spliced from 3 exons. Lineage: Eukaryota; Metazoa; Chordata; Actinopteri; Cichliformes; Cichlidae. The record is from RefSeq and is a predicted model, not a curated record.
GCCUCUGAGUCAUUUUUUUAUUAGAAUAUAAAAUAUCAGUUACAUUCAAGUACCAAGAGAUUCCAGUCUUGUGAUAUAUUGUGGAAAACACAUCAUUUUAGGCAGCUUCAUGCCAUUUAAACUCUAAAAUGAAACAGAUGACAUGACAAACUCUUUUUUCCACAUCAGAAAGUAAACAGAGAUACAAAGAACGGAUAUUUUUGUUCCUAGUGAUCCAUAAAAGGAAAGAACAAGCAGGAGAACGGAAAGAGGGAAACAAUCUUAACACACAAAAUAAAAAAAUACAGAUGUCACAACCUAUUACAGCUCUACCAACACCAUUUCCUAUUCAAGCAGGUUUACCCCUUGGAGUGUAAACUACUUGUAUCAUUACUUAAAACAUAUAGAAACAGCUUAACCUGAAAAUAGACAUUUUAAGAUUUCUUUUAUUUGUACACUCAAGUAGCACUUUAUUAGGAACACCUGCUUGUGCUAGUAGUUAUUCAGUUAGCCAAUCACGUGGCACCAGUGCAGCAGAAACUCUGAAGCUUCAUUUACAGUGCCGUGCUGAAUGGUUGACCAUAAUGUUUGCUUUUAUUCUCGUUCCUCUGCUUUGUUCUGCUAACACCAGUGAAAACAGAGAUGAUCCUGUCAGAGCUCAACGUUCAGAUGUGAACAACACUUUGCUGAAAUGAAGGAAAGAGACCUAACACGGGGGCUGAGGUCUGGAUUCCUACAAUGUGUUGUUGGAUUUCUGGAUGGUGAGAUUAUCAAAUGCAGCCCAGAUAGCAGAAAUGCAGCAAGGAUUGAUCCAUCGCCAUGUAAAUGGUAGGUCAAAAUCAGCAUGAGCCAACCUGCCCAGGCUGCUGGUGUCAGUGGGGUAACAUGGGGAAUGUUUUCUUGGUCUCUUUCUGCCAGUAUAUUACCAACAACCACCAGUCACACUGGAAGGAGUCAUUUUCUAAUGGCUCCUUCAUCUUAAACGUGGUUUUAUAAAUAUGAGACUGAAUUCAGACGGCCUACGUUGUCGUCCUAACCAGCAAGUCUGAAUCCAGAAGAA